AGCGAACGCUGGCGGCAGGCUUAACACAUGCAAGUCGAGCGGGCAUCCUUGUGGUGUCAGCGGCAGACGGGUGAGUAACGCGUGGGGACGUGCCCUUCGGUUCGGAAUAACUCAGGGAAACUUGAGCUAAUACCGGAUACGUGCGAGAGCAGAAAGGUUUAUCUGCCGAAGGAUCGGCCCGCGUCUGAUUAGCUAGUUGGUGAGGUUAUGGCUCACCAAGGCGACGAUCAGUAGCUGGUCUGAGAGGAUGAUCAGCCACACUGGGACUGAGACACGGCCCAGACUCCUACGGGAGGCAGCAGUGGGGAAUAUUGGACAAUGGGGGCAACCCUGAUCCAGCCAUGCCGCGUGAGUGAUGACGGCCUUAGGGUUGUAAAGCUCUUUUCUCCGGGACGAUAAUGACGGUACCGGAGGAAUAAGCCCCGGCUAACUUCGUG
RNAcentral lists this ribosomal RNA (437 nucleotides) under uncultured bacterium. Its description in RNAcentral is "partial 16S ribosomal RNA". It matches the Rfam family "Bacterial small subunit ribosomal RNA", at positions 29 to 507 of the family's 1533-position model. The record is from RNAcentral.